GUUAUAGGGUCAAGCGAACAAGUGCAUGUGGUGGAUGCCUUGGCGAUCACAGGCGAUGAAGGACGCGGUAGCCUGCGAAAAGCUUCGGGGAGCUGGCAAACAAGCUUUGAUCCGGAGAUGUCCGAAUGGGGAAACCCGGCCCUUAUGGGUCAUCCCUGACUGAAUACAUAGGUCAGGGAAGCGAACGCGGCGAACUGAAACAUCUAAGUAGCUGCAGGAACAGAAAUCAACCGAGAUUCCCAGAGUAGUGGCGAACGAAAUGGGAAGAGCCUUGUACUCUUUAGCAGCAUUGUUAGCAGAACGGGAUGGAAAGCCCGGCCAUAGCAGGUGAUAGCCCUGUAUGCGAAAACAGCGUUGUGGAACUAGGUGUACGACAAGUAGGGCGGGACACGUGAAAUCCUGUCUGAAGAUGGGGGGACCAUCCUCCAAGGCUAAAUACUCGUGAUCGACCGAUAGUGAACCAGUACCGUGAGGGAAAGGCGAAAAGAACCCCGGGAGGGGAGUGAAAUAGAUCCUGAAACCGCAUGCAUACAAACAGUCGGAGCCUGGAAACGGGUGACGGCGUACCUUUUGUAUAAUGGGUCAGCGACUUACAUUCAGUGGCAAGCUUAACCGAUUAGGGAAGGCGUAGCGAAAGCGAGUCCGAAUAGGGCGUUCAGUCGCUGGGUGUAGACCCGAAACCAGACGAUCUAUCCAUGGCCAGGUUGAAGGUGCGGUAACACGUACUGGAGGACCGAACCCACUAACGUUGAAAAGUUAGGGGAUGAGCUGUGGAUAGGGGUGAAAGGCUAAACAAGUCUGGAAAUAGCUGGUUCUCUCCGAAAACUAUUUAGGUAGUGCCUCGUGUCUCACCUUCGGGGGUAGAGCACUGUCAUGGUUGGGGGGUCUAUUGCUGAUUACCCCGCCAUAGCAAACUCCGAAUACCGAAGAGUGCAAUCACGGGAGACAGACAUCGGGUGCUAACGUCCGGUGUCAAGAGGGAAACAACCCAGACCGCCAGCUAAGGUCCCUAAGAUUGGCUAAGUGGGAAACGAAGUGGGAAGGCUAAAACAGUCAGGAGGUUGGCUUAGAAGCAGCCAUCCUUUAAAGAAAGCGUAAUAGCUCACUGAUCGAGUCGUCCUGCGCGGAAGAUGUAACGGGGCUAAGCCAGUCACCGAAGCUGCGGAUGC
RNAcentral lists this ribosomal RNA (1169 nucleotides) under Cupriavidus sp. UME77. RNAcentral's name for it is "partial 23S ribosomal RNA". It matches the Rfam family "Bacterial large subunit ribosomal RNA", at positions 1 to 1209 of the family's 2925-position model. The record is from RNAcentral. Lineage: Bacteria; Pseudomonadati; Pseudomonadota; Betaproteobacteria; Burkholderiales; Burkholderiaceae.